RNAcentral lists this ribosomal RNA (554 nucleotides) under Siren intermedia (lesser siren). RNAcentral's name for it is "partial 16S ribosomal RNA". It matches the Rfam family "Bacterial large subunit ribosomal RNA", at positions 1817 to 2597 of the family's 2925-position model. The record is from RNAcentral. Lineage: Eukaryota; Metazoa; Chordata; Amphibia; Caudata; Sirenidae.
CGCCUCUUGCAACACUAAGUAUAAGAGGUCCUGCCUGCCCAGUGACAUUAGUUUAACGGCCGCGGUAUUAUAACCGUGCGAAGGUAGCGUAAUCACUUGUCUUUUAAAUAAAGACCUGUAUGAAUGGCAAGACGAGAAUUCAACUGUCUCUUAGUUCUAAUCAAUGAAACUAUCCUUCCCGUGCAGAGACGGGAAUAUAAAUAUAAGACGAGAAGACCCUAUGGAGCUUUAAACAUAAACUACCUACUUUUAUUAAACUAAUCAAAAGAUUAAAUAUAUAAUUAUUAGCAUUAGCUUAAGUUUUUGGUUGGGGCGACCACGGAAUAUAAAACAACUUCCGAGAUGAAUUACAUUAGAAUUACAAUUCAAUGAAUAAAAAAUUUAACAUAAUUGACCCAAUUUUUGAUCAACGAACCAAGUUACCCUAGGGAUAACAGCGCAAUCCUUUCUAAGAGUUCCUAUCGACGAAUGGGUUUACGACCUCGAUGUUGGAUCAGGACACCCAAAUGGUGCAGCAGCUAUUAAAGGUUCGUUUGUUCAACGAUUAAAGUCCU